This 253-nucleotide ribosomal RNA is filed under the name uncultured bacterium. RNAcentral describes it as "partial 16S ribosomal RNA". It matches the Rfam family "Bacterial small subunit ribosomal RNA", at positions 524 to 776 of the family's 1533-position model. The record is from RNAcentral.
UACGGGGGGGGCAAGCGUUGUUCGGAAUUACUGGGCGUAAAGGGCUCGUAGGUGGCCAACUAAGUCAGACGUGAAAUCCCUCGGCUUAACCGGGGAACUGCAUCUGAUACUGGAUGGCUUGAGUUUGGGAGAGGGAUGCGGAAUUCCAGGUGUAGCGGUGAAAUGCGUAGAUAUCUGGAGGAAUACCGGUGGCGAAGGCGGCAUCCUGGACCGACAUUGACGCUGAAAGCCGAAAGCUAGGGGAGCAAACGGG